GUAGGUGGCAAGCGUUGUCCGGAAUUAUUGGGCGUAAAGCGCGCGCAGGCGGUUCUUUAAGUCUGAUGUGAAAGCCCACGGCUCAACCGUGGAGGGUCAUUGGAAACUGGAGAACUUGAGUACAGAAGAGGAAAGCGGAAUUCCACGUGUAGCGGUGAAAUGCGUAGAGAUGUGGAGGAACACCAGUGGCGAAGGCGGCUUUCUGGUCUGUAACUGACGCUGAGGCGCGAAAGCGUGGGGGAGCAAACAGUAUUAGAUACCCUGGUAGUCCACGCCGUAAACGAUGAGUGCUAAGUGUUAGGGGGUUUCCGCCCCUUAGUGCUGCAGCUAACGCAUUAAGCACUCCGCCUGGGAGUACGGCCGCAAGGCUG
RNAcentral lists this ribosomal RNA (371 nucleotides) under uncultured organism. Its description in RNAcentral is "partial 16S ribosomal RNA". It matches the Rfam family "Bacterial small subunit ribosomal RNA", at positions 527 to 896 of the family's 1533-position model. The record is from RNAcentral.